Molecule: non-coding RNA, 18 nt
Filed under: Arabidopsis thaliana (thale cress)
Lineage: Eukaryota; Viridiplantae; Streptophyta; Magnoliopsida; Brassicales; Brassicaceae
Source: RNAcentral
GGUCUUGGCUCAACCCGC